UCAAAGUAGUGGUUGAAGGCUAUCAAGUGACUUAUAAUCGUGUAGAAGGUGCACACCCUUCAAGAGUAACAAAGCAAAACAAAGUCACUUGGUUGAACUCCUCAAAAGACCUUCAAUCAAAGCUUUCUUCAAGAACAUGUACCCGUAGCAGAUGAUACGGGGUGGAACCCAUAAAUGUUGAUCUUUCACAAAUUGGAGGGGAAAACCUCGAAGAACAUGAAGAACACGGAGAAGAACGGGGACAAAUUAUAAGAGGAAACAGUCAAGAACAAGUCCAAUCACACAUUCACUAGACUCACACCACACAAGAUCCACAAGGGUACAUGAACAACAAAGAGAAAGUAAGAUACAUGGUAAUAUUUAUCCCAAAUUCCAUAGGGAGAUGAGGUCUUGAAUCCAAUAGGAAUCUUCCCUGAGAAGGGGCCUUGGCAACCACUAGGGUUCAUCUCCCAUGGAAGUCAUCUCCAUGGGGAAGGAGGUAGUGGA
RNAcentral lists this long non-coding RNA (486 nucleotides) under Hordeum vulgare. RNAcentral describes it as "long non-coding RNA (HVUL_LNC012458)". Lineage: Eukaryota; Viridiplantae; Streptophyta; Magnoliopsida; Poales; Poaceae. The record is from RNAcentral.